Molecule: ribosomal RNA, 503 nt
Filed under: uncultured bacterium
Lineage: Bacteria
Description: partial 16S ribosomal RNA
Rfam family: Bacterial small subunit ribosomal RNA
Source: RNAcentral
AUUGAACGCUGGCGGCAUGCCUUACACAUGCAAGUCGAACGGCAGCACGGGAGCUUGCUCCUGGUGGCGAGUGGCGAACGGGUGAGUAAUACAUCGGAACGUACCCAGUAGUGGGGGAUAACGCACCGAAAGGUGCGCUAAUACCGCAUACGACCUACGGGUGAAAGCGGGGGACCGUAAGGCCUCGCGCUAUUGGAGCGGCCGAUGUCUGAUUAGCUAGUUGGCGGGGUAAUAGCCCACCAAGGCGGCGAUCAGUAGCUGGUCUGAGAGGGCGAUCAGCCACCAUGGGACUGGUAAACGGCCCAGCUGCCCCCGGGAGGCAACAGUGGGGAAUUUUGGACAAUGGGGGCAACCCUGAUCCAGCAAUGCCGCGUGUGCGAAGAAGGCCUUCGGGUUGUAAAGCACUUUUGUCAGGGAAGAAAUCUUUCAGGCUAAUACCCUUGGAAGGAUGACGGUACCUGAAGAAUAAGCACCGGCUAACUACGUGCCAGCCGCCGCCGUAA